GGGCGAAUAGCUCAGCGGGAGAGCGCCGCCCUUACAAGGCGGAUGUCGUAGGUUCAAUCCCUACUUCGCCCA
Molecule: transfer RNA, 72 nt
Filed under: Deltaproteobacteria bacterium
Lineage: Bacteria; Pseudomonadati; Myxococcota; Myxococcia
Description: tRNA-Val
Rfam family: tRNA
About the family: Transfer RNA (tRNA) molecules are approximately 80 nucleotides in length.
Source: RNAcentral